RNAcentral lists this unclassified non-coding RNA (411 nucleotides) under fungal sp. RNAcentral describes it as "partial internal transcribed spacer region". The stretch from base 1 to 46 matches the Rfam family "Eukaryotic small subunit ribosomal RNA", at positions 1786 to 1831 of the family's 1831-position model. The record is from RNAcentral. Lineage: Eukaryota; Fungi.
AAGUCGUAACAAGGUUUCCGUAGGUGAACCUGCGGAAGGAUCAUUAGAAGUGCUUCUCAAAGGCGGGGCGCCCCACGCAUAGCAUAGCAUCUCCCUCUCCCAGCGAGGCCCGCUGCCCGCUUGUUACGGUCAAAAUGUUGACUCCUCAACUGGGUCCUGCCCCAACCCCCAUCCCGACCGAGCUAAGUCACGCUGCAACAGCCUGUGGAACUGGCAGAGAGAGAGGAGGGACCUAUGCUGGGGGGCGUCCGACUUUGACAUUGGAGAACAAAACCCCCGUGUACCUCUCCCAACCUUGCUUCCCGCGCUUCCGGGCGCGGGGAGGAAACCUUCCAGCCCUUCCGAAACAGAAGUCUGACACGAAGAAAGAUAGAAAAGUUAAAACUUUCAACAACGGAUCUCUUGGUUCUC